Sander lucioperca (pikeperch) is the source of this 136-nucleotide long non-coding RNA. RefSeq lists it as uncharacterized. The record is from RefSeq and is a predicted model, not a curated record. The transcript is spliced from 2 exons. NCBI's taxonomy places the organism in Eukaryota, Metazoa, Chordata, Actinopteri, Perciformes, Percidae.
AUGUGUAUGCGUGUCUGUGUUUGAGAGAGAGUUUGUGUAAAUCUGGGUGAAAAAGGGCAUCUUUUGAAGGAUGCAUUUCAUGUGUCUUUGAAGAGGUGCUUGAAUAAAAACAUUGUCUCCUGCCUUUGUUGUAAAC